This is a long non-coding RNA of Rhipicephalus microplus (southern cattle tick), 546 nucleotides long. The record is from RefSeq and is a predicted model, not a curated record. NCBI's taxonomy places the organism in Eukaryota, Metazoa, Arthropoda, Arachnida, Ixodida, Ixodidae.
UUAUAUUUUCCAUUGUGACUUCAACCACCACAACUAAGCAAUAAAUAGCGAGCACGAAAAAUUGUUACACACACAGCUUUCCGCACUCGUAAAGCAAUUGGAGGAUAUAAACCGAACACUUGACAGCAAAUAGAAUGAAGGGCUGCGUGUUUGCCAUUGUAGCGUUGGCCAUGAUACUGAUGCUUCAGAAUGUCAAUGGCUGCGAUAAAAAGACUCUUUUGAUCGGAAAAACUGGCUGCCUUCUGGGCGCAGUUCCAAUUUUGCCAGGGCAAACUUUGGAACUCCGGUGUCCCUGCGCGAAUGUUUCAUGUCAUGAUGGUCUGAAGCGCAUAAUAGUUUCAUGGUGUGACAACCCUCAAACGCCACUAAUUGAUUCGAAAGCGGAGUGAUGAAGUUAUAAAAAUGUGUACGUUAAAAGUUUGUACCCAGCUCAAGACCUUCUUGAUUAAAAGUCAGUGUCGUGAAUAUAUUUCAUACCAGAAAAAGAUAUUUUCUUCAACUAACUUGAUACAACAAUGAAAAUAAACUGCCUUUUGAUUACGUCUA